This 504-nucleotide ribosomal RNA is filed under the name uncultured bacterium. RNAcentral describes it as "partial 16S ribosomal RNA". It matches the Rfam family "Bacterial small subunit ribosomal RNA", at positions 28 to 523 of the family's 1533-position model. The record is from RNAcentral.
GAUAAACGCUAGCGGCAGGCUUAACACAUGCAAGUCGAGGGGCAGCAUAGAUUGUAGCAAUAUAAUUGGUGGCGACCGGCGCACGGGUGCGUAACGCGUAUGCAACCUACCCGUCACAGGGGGAUAAUCCGGAGAAAUCUGGUCUAAUACCCCAUAACAUAUGGAUCGGCAUCGGUUCAUGUUGAAAUUUUCGGAGGUGACGGAUGGGCAUGCGUAGCAUUAGCUUGUUGGUGAGGUAACGGCUCACCAAGGCGACGAUGCUUAGGGGGACUGAGAGGUUUUCCCCCCACACGGGGACUGAGACACGGACCGGACUCCUACGGGAGGCAGCAGUGAGGAAUAUUGGUCAAUGGGCGCAAGCCUGAACCAGCCAUGCCGCGUGCAGGAUGACGGCUCUAUGAGUUGUAAACUGCUUUUGUACGAGGGUAAAGUGGGUUACGUGUAACCUUUUGAAAGUAUCGUACGAAUAAGGAUCGGCUAACUCCGUGCCAGCCGCCGCCGUAA